Molecule: ribosomal RNA, 497 nt
Filed under: uncultured bacterium
Lineage: Bacteria
Description: partial 16S ribosomal RNA
Rfam family: Bacterial small subunit ribosomal RNA
Source: RNAcentral
GACGAACGCUGGCGGCGUGCCUAAUACAUGCCAGUUGAGCGAUGAAGCUUGGUGCUUGCACCAAUUUGAAGAGCAGCGAACGGGUGAGUAACGCGUGGGGAAUCUGCCUUUGAGCGGGGGACAACAUUUGGAAACGAAUGCUAAUACCGCAUAACAACUUUAAACAUAAGUUUUAAGUUUGAAAGAUGCAAUUGCAUCACUCAAAGAUGAUCCCGCGUUGUAUUAGCUAGUUGGUGAGGUAAAGGCUCACCAAGGCGAUGAUACAUAGCCGACCUGAGAGGGUGAUCGGCCACAUUGGGACUGAGACACGGCCCAAACGCCUACGGGAGGCAGCAGUAGGGAAUCUUCGGCAAUGGACGAAAGUCUGACCGAGCAACGCCGCGUGAGUGAAGAAGGUUUUCGGAUCGUAAAACUCUGUUGGUAGAGAAGAACGUUGGUGAGAGUGGAAAGCUCAUCAAGUGACGGUAACUACCCAGAAAGGGACGGCUAACUACGUG